RNAcentral lists this ribosomal RNA (506 nucleotides) under uncultured bacterium. RNAcentral's name for it is "partial 16S ribosomal RNA". It matches the Rfam family "Bacterial small subunit ribosomal RNA", at positions 30 to 523 of the family's 1533-position model. The record is from RNAcentral.
AUUGAACGCUGGCGGCAGGCCUAACACAUGCAAGUCGAACGGUAACAGGAAACAGCUUGCUGUUUCGCUGACGAGUGGCGGACGGGUGAGUAAUGUCUGGGAAACUGCCUGAUGGAGGGGGAUAACUACUGGAAACGGUAGCUAAUACCGCAUAACGUCGCAAGACCAAAGAGGGGGACCUUCGGGCCUCUUGCCAUCGGAUGUGCCCAGAUGGGAUUAGCUAGUAGGUGGGGUAACGGCUCACCUAGGCGACGAUCCCUAGCUGGUCUGAGAGGAUGACCAGCCACACUGGAACUGAGACACGGUCCAGACUCCUACGGGAGGCAGCAGUGGGGAAUAUUGCACAAUGGGCGCAAGCCUGAUGCAGCCAUGCCGCGUGUAUGAAGAAGGCCUUCGGGUUGUAAAGUACUUUCAGCGGGGAGGAAGGGAGUAAAGUUAAUACCUUUGCUCAUUGACGUUACCCGCAGAAGAAGCAACGGCUAACUCCGUGCCAGCAGCCGCCGCAG